AACUUGAAGUAAUUAAUACAUUCAAUUUCGACUUGACAAUAAGAUUCUAAUCCAAGU
This 57-nucleotide transfer RNA is filed under the name Chrysis fulgida. Its description in RNAcentral is "tRNA-Arg". Lineage: Eukaryota; Metazoa; Arthropoda; Insecta; Hymenoptera; Chrysididae. The record is from RNAcentral.